GACGAACGCUGGCGGCGUGCUUAACACAUGCAAGUCGAACGGAAAGGCCCUGCUUUUGUGGGGUGCUCGAGUGGCGAACGGGUGAGUAACACGUGAGUAACCUGCCCUUGACUUUGGGAUAACUUCAGGAAACUGGGGCUAAUACCGGAUAGGAGCUCCUGCUGCAUGGUGGGGGUUGGAAAGUUUCGGCGGUUGGGGAUGGACUCGCGGCUUAUCAGCUUGUUGGUGGGGUAGUGGCUUACCAAGGCUUUGACGGGUAGCCGGCCUGAGAGGGUGACCGGCCACAUUGGAACUGAGAUACGGCCCGGACUCCUACGGAAGGCAGCAGUGGGGAAUAUUGCACAAUGGGCGGAAGCCUGAUGCAGCAACGCCGCGUGCGGGAUGACGGCCUUCGGGUUGUAAACCGCUUUCGCCUGUGACGAAGCGUGAGUGACGGUAAUGUGUAAAGAAGCACCGGCUAACUACGUG
This 468-nucleotide ribosomal RNA is filed under the name uncultured bacterium. RNAcentral describes it as "partial 16S ribosomal RNA". It matches the Rfam family "Bacterial small subunit ribosomal RNA", at positions 28 to 507 of the family's 1533-position model. The record is from RNAcentral.